RNAcentral lists this non-coding RNA (244 nucleotides) under Clostridium botulinum. Its description in RNAcentral is "T-box sequence". It matches the Rfam family "T-box leader". From Rfam's summary of the family: Uncharged tRNA acts as the effector for transcription antitermination of genes in the T-box leader family. The record is from RNAcentral. Lineage: Bacteria; Bacillati; Bacillota; Clostridia; Eubacteriales; Clostridiaceae.
CUAAAUGCUAUGAAGGAAAGAGUAAUAAGUGAAAAUAUCUAAAGAGAGUCGGAUAAGGUGAAAGCCGAUGAUAUGGAAAUUUAUGAAUAUGGCUCCAGAGCAGGUUGUCUGAAGUAUAGUAGGAUAGCACGGUAACAACCGUUAUAUUGUAAAGUGAUAACAUAUUAUAUGAAGUCACUUAUUAAGGCUUUUACUGUGAAGUAAAGGUGAAUUAGAGUGGUACAGCGAAAUUUACGCCUCUAUA